RNAcentral lists this ribosomal RNA (437 nucleotides) under uncultured bacterium. Its description in RNAcentral is "bacterial SSU rRNA". It matches the Rfam family "Bacterial small subunit ribosomal RNA", at positions 954 to 1392 of the family's 1533-position model. The record is from RNAcentral.
GCAUAACGCGAAGAACCUUACCAGGUCUUGACAUCCCUCUGACCGGUCCUUAACCGGGCCUUCCCUUCGGGGCAGAGGAGACAGGUGCUGCAUGGCUGUCGUCAGCUCGUGUUGUGAAAUGCUGGGUUAAGUCCGGCAACGAGCGCAACCCUCGCCAUUAGUUGCCAGCAUUUCGGAUGGGCACUCUAGUGGGACUGCCUAUGAAAGUAGGAGGAAGGCGGGGAUGACGUCUAGUCAGCAUGGUCCUUACGGCCUGGGCGACACACGUGCUACAAUGGCCGGUACAACGCGCUGCCACCUCGCGAGAGGGAGCUAAUCGUUAAAGCCGGUCCCAGUUCGGAUUGCAGUCUGCAACUCGACUGCAUGAAGUUGGAAUCGCUAGUAAUCGCGGAUCAGCCAUGCCGCGGUGAAUACGUUCCCGGGUCUUGUACACACCG